UACGUAGGUCCCGAGCGUUGUCCGGAUUUAUUGGGCGUAAAGAGCGCGCAGGUGGUUAAUUAAGUCUGAUGUGAAAGCCCACGGCUUAACCGUGGAGGGUCAUUGGAAACUGGUUGACUUGAGUGCAGAAGAGGGAAGUGGAAUUCCAUGUGUAGCGGUGAAAUGCGUAGAGAUAUGGAGGAACACCAGUGGCGAAGGCGGCUUCCUGGUCUGCAACUGACACUGAGGCGCGAAAGCGUGGGGAGCAAGCAGG
Molecule: ribosomal RNA, 253 nt
Filed under: uncultured bacterium
Lineage: Bacteria
Description: partial 16S ribosomal RNA
Rfam family: Bacterial small subunit ribosomal RNA
Source: RNAcentral